RNAcentral lists this ribosomal RNA (252 nucleotides) under uncultured bacterium. RNAcentral's name for it is "partial 16S ribosomal RNA". It matches the Rfam family "Bacterial small subunit ribosomal RNA", at positions 524 to 776 of the family's 1533-position model. The record is from RNAcentral.
UACGGAGGAUCCGAGCGUUAUCCGGAUUUAUUGGGUUUAAAGGGUGCGUAGGCGGCCUUGUAAGUCAGGGGUGAAAGACGGUAGCUCAACUAUCGCAGUGCCUUUAUACUGCAGGGCUUGAAUAUACUAGAGGCAGGCGGAAUGUGACAAGUAGCGGUGAAAUGCAUAGAUAUGUCACAGAACACCAAUUGCGAAGGCAGCUUGCUAUGGUAUAAUUGACGCUGAGGCACGAAAGCGUGGGGAUCAAACAGG